AGUGAACGCUGGCGGUAGGCCUAACACAUGCAAGUCGAACGGCAGCACAGGAGAGCUUGCUCUCUGGGUGGCGAGUGGCGGACGGGUGAGGAAUACAUCGGAAUCUACUUUUUCGUGGGGGAUAACGUAGGGAAACUUACGCUAAUACCGCAUACGACCUACGGGUGAAAGCAGGGGACCUUCGGGCCUUGCGCGAUUGAAUGAGCCGAUGUCGGAUUAGCUAGUUGGCGGGGUAAAGGCCCACCAAGGCGACGAUCCGUAGCUGGUCUGAGGGGAUGGUCAGCCACACGGGAACUGAGACACGGUCCAGACUCCUACGGGAGGCAGCAGUGGGGAAUAUUGGACAAUGGGCGCAAGCCUGAUCCAGCCAUACCGCGUGGGUGAAGAAGGCCUUCGGGUUGUAAAGCCCUUUUGUUGGGAAAGAAAUCCAGCUGGCUAAUACCCGGUUGGGAUGACGGUACCCAAAGAAUAAGCACCGGCUAACUUCGUGCCAGCAGCCGCCGUAA
RNAcentral lists this ribosomal RNA (506 nucleotides) under uncultured bacterium. RNAcentral's name for it is "partial 16S ribosomal RNA". It matches the Rfam family "Bacterial small subunit ribosomal RNA", at positions 29 to 523 of the family's 1533-position model. The record is from RNAcentral.